Long non-coding RNA from Canis lupus familiaris (dog), 1095 nucleotides. RefSeq lists it as uncharacterized. NCBI's taxonomy places the organism in Eukaryota, Metazoa, Chordata, Mammalia, Carnivora, Canidae. The transcript is spliced from 3 exons. The record is from RefSeq and is a predicted model, not a curated record.
GCAGCCUUUGAUCAGCAAGGCACCUGACAGAACCAGAGAAUGGGAAGGACGAAAGUUGAUUUGUCAAGAGACAAUUGCCUUCUCUAAAGGGAGCCAAUCCAACAUCAGAAUGUCAUACAAUUGGAAUCAUUGGAGCCUGGCUUCUUUCAUUCAGCACAGUUUAUUGGAGAUUCAUCUAUGUCAGUGUAUCAAUAAUUUGCUCCUUUUAAUAGGCACACUGCUACAUGCAGCACAUCAUUUGGAUAUGUCUGGAGUCUUGGAAGCUUGACUAUUCUACAUUCUCCUACAAAUGGACCUUACAAGCUUAUUUGGAGAUUCUAGCAGAGGAGUGUAGCUACUCCCAUACCCUAGACUGAUGAAUGGUUCUCCUUUAUUGGGGAAGGUCGUCUUCUUCAACCAAGUCCACAACUUUGGGAGAGAUACACAUGGAACCAUGGGGGAGGAGGGAACUUCCACCUAGCCAGCCAUUAUCAACUGAAUUGACCCUGGCAAUCCAUGGGGUGACAGAUGUCUCAGCCAGAUCGCCUUCAUAUCUAUGACUUUUUUUCUUUUAUCAACCAGAUGGUCAAAAGUUGCAAGAUAUCAUAAUAUAUCUUUGUUGUUAAGAAUAUGCAUAGAUGGAUUCUUUCAAACUUUUUAAGUUGGUAUUUUUGAAGGAUAAUUUGAGAGUAUCUGUGAAAAAUCUUAAAUUGCAUAUCUUUUGACCUAGUAAUUUCUAUUCUUUUUUUAAGAUUUUAUUUAUUCAUGAGAGACACACAGAGAGAGAGAAAGAGAAAGAGAGAGGCAGAGACACAGGCAGAGGGAGAAGCAGGCUCCAUGCAGGGAGCCCAACGUGGGACUCGAUCUUGGGGCUCUAGGGUCAGGCCCUGGGCUGAAGGUGGCACUAAACCUCUGAGCUACCCGGGCUGCCCAGUAAUUUCAAUUCUUAAAGACCAUCUUUCACAAGUGAACAAAGAUGUAUGUAUAAAGGUAUUCAUUGAAGCAUUUUUUAAAAUAGUAAAACAAGGGAUCCCUGGAUGGCUUACUGGUUUAGCGCCUGCCUUUGGUCCAGGGUGCAAUCCUGGAGUCUCGGGAUCGAGGCCCACGUUGGGCUCC